GUAGGGAAUAUUGCGCAAUGGACGAAAGUCUGACGCAGCGACGCCGCGUGAGUGAUGAAGGCCUUAGGGUCGUAAAGCUCUGUUGAAUGGGAAGAAAAAAAUGACGGUACCAUUCGAGGAAGGACCGGCUAACUUCGUGCCAGCAGCCGCGGUAAUACGAGGGGUCAUAGCGUUGUUCGGAUUCAUUGGGCGUAAAGGGUGUGUAGGUGGCCAUGUAAGUCAGGUGUGAAAGCCCCGGGCUCAACCCGGGCAGUGCACUUGAUACUGCGUGGCUUGAGUACCGAAGAGGGUAGUGGAAUUCCAGGUGUAGUGGUGAAAUACGUAGAUAUCUGGAGGAACACCGGUGGCGAAGGCGGCUACCUGGUCGAGUACUGACACUGAGACACGAAAGCAUGGGGAUCAAACAGGAUUAGAUACCCGGGUAGUCC
Molecule: ribosomal RNA, 428 nt
Filed under: uncultured bacterium
Lineage: Bacteria
Description: partial 16S ribosomal RNA
Rfam family: Bacterial small subunit ribosomal RNA
Source: RNAcentral